UGAAAACCAAACCAUUCUUCUCUCUAAAGCUCUUUCCUCCUUGAUAACAACUCAACACCUUGGCCGAAUUUUCAAUUUCUGUUCUCUCUUGAAGCUUGGAUUUUGGAGGAUCUCUUCACCAACAAGUUUAGAGAUCCUGUAGUGAGCCCGAAUUCGCGGGACUUGUCGAAUCCAACUUCUUAGCUCGGAGCCAGUACAUCUCCAUUCCUGGCUCACCCAGCUAGGAGGAGCAAGUCCUAGCCAUGUGCACAUGUUUUCUGUAGUAGCACUACCGAACAUGCGUGUCCGUUCCGACUGCGGUCGAAGAUCAAGCUCCGGUUGUUGAUAUUCUGUUAUGUUCCGACUUCACAGUUGAUGAUCCAGCCUCGUGCUAUUGAUUUUUGUUAUCAGUCAGGGAGAUGUACAUGUCUGUUUUUCUAUGUGUUUUCUGUAUUUUCUGAUAAUCUGUAUGAAUUAUUAAUUAUUCUGUUAUUUUCUGCGAUCCUAUUGGGCUCUUGUGGCUUAUGUACUCUGUGAAUUUUUUCAUUCCACAAGAGAAGAUCAAGCUUAGGAUCAGUGGGUUAUUCUGGGGCUUCUUCUGUAGUUGUGACUUGUCAAAUACCUGUUCUUUGAGGUUGUGAACCUUAUAUGUUAUUUUAUUCUGUAUGAGUGAGACUUGUAUCCUGUUUGUAUAAUUUGGCUUGUAAACUACUUGUGUACUCUGUAGGACUGUCAUAGUCCAUAUCUUAUUAUCUAUAUUUCUGUGACUCUAUUUGUAGUCUA
This is a long non-coding RNA of Dioscorea cayenensis subsp. rotundata (Guinea yam), 762 nucleotides long. RefSeq lists it as uncharacterized. The transcript has 3 exons. NCBI's taxonomy places the organism in Eukaryota, Viridiplantae, Streptophyta, Magnoliopsida, Dioscoreales, Dioscoreaceae. The record is from RefSeq and is a predicted model, not a curated record.